CUCAGAACGAGGCUUUCAUUUUUUUUUUUCUUUAAAUCUGUGUCAGUUCACAAAUGCCAGUCUGUAAGGGGCAUCAAACUGAAAAAUACAGGUUGAAAUAAAGUGGCUGAAGCCCAGGAAAAAGAGGCUAUUUCAGCAGUCUGAAGGGCUGAGCAGAGAGGCUUCUUUUCCCUAUAAUAAGGGUCAGAUCCUUGAAGAGCUGGCUUCAUGCGGAUACGUGAAUGAUGAGGCUGGCAGAGUCCUGGGCGAGAGAGCAGGACCCCAGUAAGGCCCAAUUCUGCCCUGGGAGUGGUAGUCAGUGGAAACUCAGGGUUCCAAGCUUCUCUUCUCAAAUGACUUGGAGGUUCUGUUUAUAGGUCAUUCUACCUGAAGGAUCCAUGUAUCAAGAUAGCAGCCGGACAGCAUGGACCAGGUUUAUACCUGGGGACAGUAAAGAGCAUCAUAUCUUGGCAAAACCAAGCAAAACAGAUGUGGGUUCUAAUUCUUCCUCUACCACGUGGCCAAAUUGCUUCCAUUUACAUCAUCUAGAGACAGCAAGGAAGCGUGUGAUUCUCAUGCCUGGAUUUGUCAUGUUGGGGGACUUGGACAAGGCAAUUUCUUUCACAGAUAGCAGUUUCCCUAUUUGGGAAAUAAAGCAUCCACCCUUUAAUAUAACUAUAAACUCUUGAGAAUGACCUCCAGAAAGUUAUGGGCCAGAUGAUCCAAUCAUGGUAAGUAACCCCAAAUUUUGUAAUUCAAUCAAUGUCACGUUCCUUUUUUUUUUUUUUUUUGGUCUUUUCCAGGGCCGCACCCAUGGCAUAUGGAGGUUUACAGGCUAGGAGUCUAAUCAGAGCUGUAGCUGCUGGCCUACGCCAGAGCCACAGCAAUGUGGGAUCCGAGCCGCAUCUGUGACCUACACCCCAACUCACAGCAGUGCCAGAUCCUCAACCCACUGAGCGAGGCCAGGGAUCAAACCCACAACCUCAUGGUUCCUAGUCAGAUUCGUUAACCACUGAGCACGACAGGAACUCCUCAAGUUCCUUCUUAAUAUAAAUGCUCUUUGGAUUUAUAUAACACUUGUUUUAAAACAAUGCUUGGGACUCUUUUUUUUUUUUUUUUUUUUUUUUCUUUUUAAGGCCUCAUCCAUGGCAUUUGGAAGUUCCCAGGCUAGGGGUUGAAUCAGAACUGCAGCUGCC
This 1175-nucleotide long non-coding RNA is filed under the name Sus scrofa (pig). RNAcentral describes it as "lncRNA (ENSSSCG00030053270.1)". The record is from RNAcentral. Lineage: Eukaryota; Metazoa; Chordata; Mammalia; Artiodactyla; Suidae.